GAUGAACGCUGGCGGCGUGCUUAACACAUGCAAGUCGAACGAAGCACUUUAUUUGAUUUCCUUCGGGACUGAUUAUUUUGUGACUGAGUGGCGGACGGGUGAGUAACGCGUGGGUAACCUGCCUUGUACAGGGGGAUAACAGUUGGAAACGGCUGCUAAUACCGCAUAAGCGCACAGCAUCGCAUGAUGCAGUGUGAAAAACUCCGGUGGUAUAAGAUGGACCCGCGUUGGAUUAGCUAGUUGGUGAGGUAACGGCCCACCAAGGCGACGAUCCAUAGCCGACCUGGGAGGGUGACCGGCCACAUUGGGACUGAGACACGGCCCAAACUCCGACGGGAGGCAGCAGUGGGGAAUAUUGCACAAUGGGCGAAAGCCUGAUGCAGCGACGCCGCGUGAGCGAAGAAGUAUUUCGGUAUGUAAAGCUCUAUCAGCAGGGAAGAUAAUGACGGUACCUGACGAAGAAGCACCGGCUAAAUACGUG
Molecule: ribosomal RNA, 481 nt
Filed under: uncultured bacterium
Lineage: Bacteria
Description: partial 16S ribosomal RNA
Rfam family: Bacterial small subunit ribosomal RNA
Source: RNAcentral